RNAcentral lists this ribosomal RNA (465 nucleotides) under Vreelandella stevensii. Its description in RNAcentral is "partial 16S ribosomal RNA". It matches the Rfam family "Bacterial small subunit ribosomal RNA", at positions 338 to 795 of the family's 1533-position model. Lineage: Bacteria; Pseudomonadati; Pseudomonadota; Gammaproteobacteria; Oceanospirillales; Halomonadaceae. The record is from RNAcentral.
CCUACGGGGAGCAGCAGUGGGGAAUAUUGGACAAUGGGCGAAAGCCUGAUCCAGCCAUGCCGCGUGUGUGAAGAAGGCCUUCGGGUUGUAAAGCACUUUCAGUGGGGAAGAAAGCCUUGGGGCUAAUACCCUCGAGGAAGGACAUCACCCACAGAAGAAGCACCGGCUAACUCCGUGCCAGCAGCCGCGGUAAUACGGAGGGUGCGAGCGUUAAUCGGAAUUACUGGGCGUAAAGCGCGCGUAGGCGGUCUGAUAAGCCGGUUGUGAAAGCCCCGGGCUCAACAUGGGAACGGCAUCCGGAACUGUCAGGCUAGAGUGCAGGAGAGGAAGGUAGAAUUCCCGGUGUAGCGGUGAAAUGCGUAGAGAUCGGGAGGAAUACCAGUGGCGAAGGCGGCCUUCUGGACUGACACUGACGCUGAGGUGCGAAAGCGUGGGUAGCAAACAGGAUUAGAUACCCGUGUAGUC